AGAGUUUGUACUCCUGGCUCAGGACGAACGCUGGCGGCGUGCUUAACACAUGCAAGUCGAACGGUGACGCCAGAGCUUGCUCUGGUUGAUCAGUGGCGAACGGGUGAGUAACACGUGAGUAACCUGCCCUUGACUCUGGGAUAACUCCGGGAAACCGGGGCUAAUACCGGAUACGAGACGCGACCGCAUGGUCGGCGUCUGGAAAGUUUUUUCGGUCAAGGAUGGACUCGCGGCCUAUCAGCUUGUUGGUGAGGUAACGGCUCACCAAGGCGUCGACGGGUAGCCGGCCUGAGAGGGCGACCGGCCACACUGGGACUGAGACACGGCCCAGACUCCUACGGGAGGCAGCAGUGGGGAAUAUUGCACAAUGGGCGAAAGCCUGAUGCAGCGACGCCGCGUGAGGGAUGAAGGCCUUCGGGUUGUAAACCUCUUUCAGUAGGGAAGAAGCGGUUGGGUUCUCCUAGUCGUGACGGUACCUGCAGAAGAAGCGCCGGCUAACUACGUG
Molecule: ribosomal RNA, 505 nt
Filed under: uncultured Sanguibacter sp.
Lineage: Bacteria; Bacillati; Actinomycetota; Actinomycetes; Micrococcales; Sanguibacteraceae
Description: bacterial SSU rRNA
Rfam family: Bacterial small subunit ribosomal RNA
Source: RNAcentral